This is a long non-coding RNA of Malaclemys terrapin pileata, 1644 nucleotides long. RefSeq lists it as uncharacterized. Lineage: Eukaryota; Metazoa; Chordata; Testudines; Emydidae. The record is from RefSeq and is a predicted model, not a curated record. The transcript has 3 exons.
AGCAGCCGUCCCUCCCAUCGCGCACGGCAGGGAGGAGACACACCCGGCUGGGGUUUCAGAGUAGCAGCCGUGUUAGUCUGUAUCCACAAAAAGAACAGGAGUACUUGUGGCACCUUCAAUCCUUCAUCUUCAAUCCUGCUUCAUACCUCUGGAGGAACUUUGCUACAAACUGAAGCUCUGAACAAAGGACUGAGGACCCAUCUCAGCGGGGGAUGUACUCCAGAGACUUGAUUUGAACCUGCAGUUUAUUCCAUCGCUGCUGCAAGCCUGAACCAAGAACUUUGCCAUUACUGUGCUUCUCAAGAUACGGAGGGAAGAAGCUUCGGUGGUAUUGAUAGCUCCAGCCUGGCCCCGCCAACACUGGUACACGUCUCUCCUGGAAAUGUCCAUGGACGCCCCAAUCACCUUGCCACUCUUCCCGGACUUGAUUACUCAGGAUCACAGCCCUCUCCAACACCCAAACCUCAAAUUGUUGCACCUCAUGGCGUGGAAGCUCCAUUGCUGAACCUGAUGGAGUUCUCCUGCUCAGACCGGUUAGACAAAUCCUCGUUGGCCGUAGGAAACCUUCCACCAGGGUUACCUACCUGACCAAAUGGAAGAGAUUUUCAAUUUGGUCGGUGCAACACUGUCCAUCUCCGAUGCUUGCCUCCAUACCACUUAUACUGGACUACCUUCUCCAUCUUAAGCAGCAGGAGUUGUCCAUGUCGUCAGUAAAGGUUCACUUGGCCGCCAUUUCGGCCUUCCAUCCAGGCGCAGAGGGCCAGUUGGUCUUUACCAACCCUGUGGUCAGCCGUUUCCUGAAAGGUCUUGACAGGCUAUACCCACACGUCCGACAACCGGUCCCAGCCUGGGACCUCAAUCUGGUUGUGACGUUGCACUCUAUAUGAUUUUAUGAAAAUAUGCUAAUGAGUGUGACUAUAAAGUAACUGGAAUAUGCUGCAUGCAAAAGGUCUCUUGUAAGGUAUAAUUACAAAGCUUAUAAUCUACUGGGUGUGGUCAUCCUAUUUGUAUGUAUGUAUCAUUCUUGUAUAUGAAACUAGAAAUAUGAAAUAUAACUCUGAGGGUCUAUUGUAAUUAUGCAAAGUGAGGGCCAUUAAUGGUGGUUUGGAAUCUUGAUGGCUCCCAUUAACCAGGACAAUUAACUGUGGAUGGCUCUGUUUGCUUGCAGGCCUUCCUGUAAAUCAGGCAGGGAGGAAUGAAGGCUUAGGGUCUCACAGGACGUGUGACCAUGUCACCUGGUACUGGAAUCCAUCUUAAACCUGGUGCUUUUCCAUUUAGAAGGAGGGGUGGAGACCAGAGAGACAAAAGAUUCCCGCCUUGUGCCAAAGCUAUAUAAGGGGGUGGAACAGAACAAAGGGGAUUGCAAUCAUGAGAAAUCCCCUAGCUAUCACCUGAGCUGGAACAAGGGCUGUACCAGGGGAAAGGAUUGUGCCCAGAGUAGGAAGGUGUCCAGUCUGUGAAAGAAACUUAUUGAAACAGCUCUGAGGGUGAGAUUUUAUCUGUAUUCGGUUUUAUUACUGUACUAGGCUUAGACUUGCGUGUUUUAUUUUAUUUUGCUUGGUAAUUCACUUUGUUCUGUCUGUUAUUACUUGGAACCACUUAAAUCCUACUUUUUUAUUUAAUAAAAUCCUUUUAACUUAUUAA